AUUGAACGCUGGCGGCAUGCCUUACACAUGCAAGUCGAACGGUAACAGGUCUUCGGAUGCUGACGAGUGGCGAACGGGUGAGUAAUACAUCGGAACGUGCCUAGUAGUGGGGGAUAACUACUCGAAAGAGUGGCUAAUACCGCAUGAGAUCUACGGAUGAAAGCAGGGGAUCGCAAGACCUUGUGCUACUAGAGCGGCCGAUGGCAGAUUAGGUAGUUGGUGGGAUAAAAGCUUACCAAGCCGACGAUCUGUAGCUGGUCUGAGAGGACGAUCAGGCACACUAGGACUGAGACACGGCCCAGACUCCUACGGGAGGCAGCAGUGGGGAAUUUUGGACAAUGGGCGAAAGCCUGAUCCAGCAAUGCCGCGUGCAGGAUGAAGGCCUUCGGGUUGUAAACUGCUUUUGUACGGAACGAAAAGCCCCGGGUUAAUACCCUGGGGUCAUGACGGUACCGUAAGAAUAAGCACCGGCUAACUACGUGCCAGCAGCCGCCGUAA
RNAcentral lists this ribosomal RNA (498 nucleotides) under uncultured bacterium. Its description in RNAcentral is "partial 16S ribosomal RNA". It matches the Rfam family "Bacterial small subunit ribosomal RNA", at positions 30 to 523 of the family's 1533-position model. The record is from RNAcentral.